UAGAAGAGUGUAAAAGGGGAUAUCCAUUUUUGUUGAGCAAGGAGUAUUCAGAAGAAAUCAAGAAUUGGAUAUAAUAUAUUUGGAGACAUAUAUAUAGAAAACAAACUGAUUUUAUGUGCUGGCACAUAUUCAGAAAAGCUUCACCGCACAACUAAAGGACACGUUCGACCACAAUUAUUUGCAUUGCAUGACAAAAAGGAAAUCGUGUGCUGGCACAUAUUCAGAAAGCUUCACCGCACAACUAAAGGAUACGUUCGACCGCAAUUAUUUGCAUUGCAUGACAAAAAGGAAAUCCUCAUCUAACUUUAACCACAAAUCUGUUACGUACGAUGUACGUUCACUAGAAAGCAACCGAGAUACUUGCCCAGCUUGUAGCCAGCAAAUAAUUAGUUUUUCUUUUUCUUUCUUUUUUGUUCUUUUCAUCUUGGUUCCCGACCGUUAAUGUCCAUUCUAAGUGAUCAGAAAAAUGAAAAAAAAUCCCAAUGCAUUCAUUUCAUAUUAAAUUUUCAAUAGAUAACUAAAUUGAAGUCCACAAAAGUAAUUAAAAAUUGUAGACGAUAAUGCUCUGUCAUUUUCGUUCAUUGAGGCGUGUUGUUCUUCAUAUCCCGAGCAUCUACAGAGGAAGCAACGACCACUGGCUUACUGCCCAAGUGAAGUAGCAUCACUGGACCAUAUUUUUCUGAUAAUUUAUGGAGAGAACGAUGAGGAUGUGGCCCAAGUUGAUGAAGAUUUCCUAUAACUGGAAGCUUUCUCGGAAAUGGAGGAAAAAGAUAUCCAUUUUUGUUGAGCAAGGAGUAUUCAGAAGAAAUCAAGAAUUGGAUAUAAUAUAUUUGGAGACAUAUAUAUAGAAAACAAACUGAUUUUAUGUGCUGGCACAUAUUCAGAAAAGCUUCACCGCACAACUAAAGGACACGUUCGACCACAAUU
RNAcentral lists this long non-coding RNA (927 nucleotides) under Nicotiana benthamiana. RNAcentral's name for it is "long non-coding RNA (NBEN_LNC011391)". The record is from RNAcentral. Lineage: Eukaryota; Viridiplantae; Streptophyta; Magnoliopsida; Solanales; Solanaceae.